Molecule: ribosomal RNA, 468 nt
Filed under: uncultured bacterium
Lineage: Bacteria
Description: partial 16S ribosomal RNA
Rfam family: Bacterial small subunit ribosomal RNA
Source: RNAcentral
GACGAACGCUGGCGGCGUGCUUAACACAUGCAAGUCGAACGGAAAGGCCCUGCUUUUGUGGGGUGCUCGAGUGGCGAACGGGUGAGUAACACGUGAGUAACCUGCCCUUGACUUUGGGAUAACUUCAGGAAACUGGGGCUAAUACCGGAUAGGAGCUCCUGCUGCAUGGUGGGGGUUGGAAAGUUUCUGCGGUUGGGGCUGGACUCGCGGGUUAUCGGCUUGUUGGUGGGGUAGUAGCUUAACAAGGCUUUGCCGGGUAGGCGGCAUGAGAGGGUGAACGGCCACAUGGGGACUGAGAUACGGCCCAGACUCCUACGUUAGGCAGUAGGCGGGAAUAUUGCACAAUGGGCGGAAGCCUGAUGCAGCAACGCCGCGGUCGUGAUGACGGCCUUCGGGUUGUAAACCGCUUUCGCCUGUGACGAAGCGUGAGUGACGGUAAUGGGUAAAGAAGCACCGGCUAACUACGUG